RNAcentral lists this ribosomal RNA (117 nucleotides) under Candidatus Daviesbacteria bacterium. The record is from RNAcentral. Lineage: Bacteria; Candidatus Daviesiibacteriota.
CUCGGUGGUUUGAGCGCGCCGGUUCUACCUGAUCUCAUUCCGAACUCAGUCGUAAAAAGGCGCAGCGGGGACGAUAAUAUAUCCGCAAGGGUAUGUGAAAAUACCUCACUGCCGGGA